Molecule: long non-coding RNA, 616 nt
Filed under: Nicotiana benthamiana
Lineage: Eukaryota; Viridiplantae; Streptophyta; Magnoliopsida; Solanales; Solanaceae
Description: long non-coding RNA (NBEN_LNC033528)
Source: RNAcentral
UUGUAAUAUUGAUUCUUCCAGCAAAGACCAUUUUUCCAGUUGGAGUAUCAGUUCUUUUUCUCUUAGUUGUAGUGAAUCAGAAUAUGCACUAGACAUCUGGUGUUGUAAGGCUUCCAGUUCUUUACGGCUGACCUCAAUUUUCUGUGAGAUUGUCUUAAAUUCUCUGGUAUUUAGAGAUUUCAAGACUGGUUUAAGAGACUUGAGGUUGUUCCACACUCCUCGAAGGGUAGGCUGAGCAUUGGCAUUCCAGGAAGCUUUGACUAAUUGCUGGAAAUCCUGAUGCUGUAUCCAUGCAUUAAAGAAUCUAAAAGGUGUUCUCCUGAUUGAAACAUCCUCUAUCAAGGUCAGUAUCAUGGGGUUAUGAUCAGAUACUAGUGGGGCUCCAUAUACUGUAUGCACAUGGCUUCAUUUUAGCAUCCACUCACAAAACAUCUAUCCAGACGACUGCAUACUCUAUCAUCUCCACCUUGCUUAUUAGACCAGGUAAAAAAAUCUCCCUUCAAGGCAGUUCAGUCAGGCCAGCAUGCUGCACACAUUGAAUAAAAUCAGUAACUUCAGCUAAUCUAACUUGAUGACAAGAUUCUCUAUCAGUGCUGGACAUAAUAGCAUUAAAAUN